AUUGAACGCUGGCGGCAUGCCUUACACAUGCAAGUCGAACGGCAGCACGGGUGCUUGCACCUGGUGGCGAGUGGCGAACGGGUGAGUAAUACAUCGGAACAUGUCCUGUAGUGGGGGAUAGCCCGGCGAAAGCCGGAUUAAUACCGCAUACGAUCUACGGAUGAAAGCGGGGGACCUUCGGGCCUCGCGCUAUAGGGUUGGCCGAUGGCUGAUUAGCUAGUUGGUGGGGUAAAGGCCUACCAAGGCGACGAUCAGUAGCUGGUCUGAGAGGACGACCAGCCACACUGGGACUGAGACACGGCCCAGACUCCUACGGGAGGCAGCAGUGGGGAAUUUUGGACAAUGGGCGAAAGCCUGAUCCAGCAAUGCCGCGUGUGUGAAGAAGGCCUUCGGGUUGUAAAGCACUUUUGUCCGGGAAGAAAGCCUUGGCCCUAAUACGGUCGGGGGAUGACGGUACCGGAAGAAUAAGCACCGGCUAACUACGUG
This 486-nucleotide ribosomal RNA is filed under the name uncultured bacterium. Its description in RNAcentral is "partial 16S ribosomal RNA". It matches the Rfam family "Bacterial small subunit ribosomal RNA", at positions 30 to 507 of the family's 1533-position model. The record is from RNAcentral.